AAAGUCGUAACAAGGUUUCCGUAGGUGAACCUGCGGAAGGAUCAUUACCGAGUUUAUCGGGGGGCUCGCCCCCCCGAAACCUCCACCCGGUGUUUAGAUGACCCGCCUUGUCGUUGCCUCGGCGGGAUGCACAGCAGUGUUUCCCGCCGGCGGACAGCACACAAAAACCCUGAUAUCAACCGUGCAGUCGGAGCCCUCGUGGCAAAAAAAAAAAUAAAAAUCAAAACUUUCAACAACGGAUCUCUUGGUUCUG
RNAcentral lists this unclassified non-coding RNA (253 nucleotides) under Ascomycota sp. RNAcentral's name for it is "partial contains small subunit ribosomal RNA, internal transcribed spacer 1, and 5.8S ribosomal RNA". The stretch from base 1 to 47 matches the Rfam family "Eukaryotic small subunit ribosomal RNA", at positions 1785 to 1831 of the family's 1831-position model. Lineage: Eukaryota; Fungi; Ascomycota. The record is from RNAcentral.